This 122-nucleotide ribosomal RNA is filed under the name Xiphophorus maculatus (southern platyfish). The record is from RNAcentral. Lineage: Eukaryota; Metazoa; Chordata; Actinopteri; Cyprinodontiformes; Poeciliidae.
GUUUACGGCCAUACCACCCUGAACACGCCCGAUCUCGUCUGAUCUCGGAAGCUAAGCAGGGUCGGGCCUGGUUAGUACUUGGAUGGGAGACCGCCUGGGAAUACCAGGUGCUGUAAGCCUUU